Long non-coding RNA from Epinephelus moara (kelp grouper), 5492 nucleotides. RefSeq lists it as uncharacterized. The transcript is spliced from 3 exons. The record is from RefSeq and is a predicted model, not a curated record. Lineage: Eukaryota; Metazoa; Chordata; Actinopteri; Perciformes; Serranidae.
ACAAGGAGAAAAGGGGUAUAUCAAUAUUAUAGAUUAAUGAUAAGGUUGGUAAUGUAGGGCUCCAACUAAUGAUCUGAUGAUUCAAUUCUAUAUUAAUCAAUUAGUUGUUUGGUCUAUAAAUGUCCAAAGAAAAAUGGCCAUCACAAUUUCCCAGUAUCCAAAGUGACAUCAUCAGAUUGUUUGUUUUUAACCCUUACUCUAACCCAAAAGAUAUUUCAUUUACUAUCAAAUAUGACAAACAAAAGUAGCAAAUCUUCACAUUUGAGAAGCUGGAAGGGGAGAACAUUUUGCAGUUUUGCUUGAAAAAUGCCUGAAACGUGUCCGAAUUCGUUUGGUCUUUAAUUACAGAUGUUACAGUUUUAGUUAGUUUGAUAUUUUGGCUAACUUUAAGAAUAAGAAUACAUGGAAAGUGUUGCAUUUAGUGAGCAUGGAAUCCAUAAUAUGGACUGGAAAUAUUUAAUUCAUUCGUUAAAACUACUACUGAAAGAUAAACUAUGCAGGAUUUUCCUUAAAAAACAAACAAAAAAAAUAAUGUAUAGAAUCGUACAAAUGUAAUCCCUCUUAAUCAUCACUUAUGACCUGCUAGAAGUGUGUGGCGGUUUGUGUUUUCUUAUACUUCUAAAGACCCUUUCCCACUGCACCAAAAAAAAAAACUAACAUUACUCGGACAUGCCGAUCCUUGGCGUCGCGAACUGGCUCUUGGGACAUGGAAUGUCACCUUUCUGGCAGGGAAGGAGCCAAAGCUGGUGUCCCUGGCACCGAGUACCUGGCUGAGUGCCAUGGAGAUGUAAUUUACUAUCAAAUACCAGGUGUAAGGAAAAUGCUCAACUUCAGCAAACACUGAAAUGAAGAGACUCGGAGAACCACGGAGAAAAGUUACAGCUAACGGGAUUACUUUAAUUGCAAAAUACAACUCAGUAGAAUACAGGUUGUAGAUCACAGCAGAAAACAGCCCCGCUUAUCCAACUUCCAAAUGUUUUUAUACUAUUUGAGUGAGGGGGCGUCUGUUCGUUUGUGUGCAUGUGUGUGUGUGUGUGCGUGUGUGUGUGUGCAGACAGGUCUGGGCUUAUGACCUAAUUGUCCCAAUAGGUUUGAUUUCUUAGGAAACCUAAGUGUUUUCUGUCCCGUUUGAUUUCCAAGAACUUGAUUGCGCAAAAACUACUCAAUUUACCAAAACAACUCCUUUAAUGGAAUUUCCUCGGUCUUCCAAAGUUCACCAACUCAAAAACAACUUCUCAUAAGGAUUCUUUCCUAUUGCGAAAUCUGACAUCUGGUCCACUGUUUCAAAUACCAGGUAGCUAACACCCACUUUCGCUAUCAAAUACCAGGUUUGCUAACACCCACUUUCGCUAUCAAACACCAGGUUUGCUAACACCCUCUCUUACAACCAAAUACCAGGUGGCUGACACGCAUUUUUACUAUCAAAUACCAGGUAGCUGUGACCCACUUUUACUAUCAAAUACCAGGUAGCUUACACCCACCUUUACUAUCAAACACCAGGUAGCUGAUACCCUCUCUUACUAUCAAAUACCAGUUAGCUGACACACAUUUUUACUAUCAAAUACAAGGCAGCUGACACCCACUUUUACUGUCAAAUACCAGUUAGCUGACACCCACUUUUACUGUCAAAUGCCAGGUAGCUAAAACCCAUUUUACUAUCAAAUGCCAGGUAGCUGAUACCUACUUUUACUGUCAAAUGCCAGGUAGCUAAAACCCAUUUUACUAUCAAAUGCCAGGUAGCUGACACCCACUUUUACUGUCAAAUGCCAGGUAGUUGACACCUACCUUUACUAUCAAAUCCCAGGAAGCAGAAACACACUUUUACUAUCAAAUACCAGGUAGCUAAAACCCAUUUUUACUAUCAAAUACCAGGUAGCUGACACCCACUUUUACUGUCAAAUACCAGGUAGCUGUGACCCAUUUUUACUAUCAAACACCAGGUAGCUGACACCCACUUUUACUAUCAAAUAUGAGGUAGCUGACACCCACUUUUACUAUCAAAUGCCAGGUAGCUGACACCCAUUUUUACUAUCAAAUACCAGGUAGCUAACACCCACUUUUACUAUAAAAUACCAGGUAGCUGACACCCACUUUUACUAUUCAAUACCAGGUAGCUGACACCCACUUUCACUAUAAAAUACCAGGUAGCUGACACCCACUUUUACUAUUCAAUACCAGGUAGCUGACACCCACUUUUACUAUCAAAUACAAGGUAGCUGACACCCACUUUUACUAUCAAAUUCCAGGUAGCUAAAACCCAUUUUUACUAUCAAAUGCCAGGUAGCUAAAACCCAUUUUUACUAUCAAAUACGACGUAGCUGACACUUACUUUUACUAUCAAAUUUCAGGUAGCUAAAACCCAUUUUUACUAUCAAACACUAGCACCAGCAUUUUUAUUUCUUCUUCCUUUCUCCCGCCUCCUUCUCACCUUCACCUUCAAACAGAGAAAGGUAAUCCCUGCCACCCAUUUUUGUUCUGAUGUAUAAUUGCAUACAUAUUUGCAUUCUAGUUUUGUGUAACCUUGCAUUAAAACAUAUUCAGAGAUCAUGAACAUGUCAGUGUCCCAUACCGGUGCCUAAUAAGAUUGUUGGCAUUUAAUCUUAGCAGAUCAAAUAAAGUUAUAUUUUUGGAAAUGCAAUAAUAUUACCAGUUACCUAAUAAUACUGCACUGAAUCAGCAUUCAACAGUCGCAUUUAUGGUGUAAGAGUGGCGUUAUGUGUCAUUAUGUGUCAUUUAACUCCCACCACUUCCUGUGACGUUUCAAAGGAAUCAGCAUUUUCACAUGACUGUUGAGGCAGUGAGGCAAAUCACGCACAGCUCAGUUUGAACAAGGCAAACACAGUACAGUACAUACUAAUUACUCAGCAUAAUAAAAACCUGCUGCGACACAGACAUGCCUUGGAGCAUUUAUUAAGACACGCACGGAAAUGAAUUUUUAUAUCCUGAACUGCACCUGUAGAGUUUAGUUCUUGGUGUAAAAAAGCAUUUUUAGAUUUUUCUACAAAAUGCAGUAUGUGUGGAGAUAUGCUGUGUACAGUUCACCUUUUUCAUUUUCAGGUUAAUACACUAAUUGUCACCCUUACACUUAUAUGUUGGUUAUUAUGCAAAAAUAAAUCAUACAACUUAAUUUUAUCUUCUGUUUCUCUCCUGACUCUUUUGGCUUGAGUGCCACAAUCCUCAUUUUCUUUUUUCUGUGCGCUCAACGGCUUCUUGCAAAUAGUUUUGAAUAUACAGUACGUGUGACAUAAUUAUAUGCAUGACACAAUAAUAAAACUCCAUUCAUAAAUCAAUUCAUUCUUAUACCUGUGACACAUUCCUGACAUAUAUAGCCGCAGCGAACAGGAGUCCAACUUCAGAAAAUCUUGGUUGAGCAACAGCAUUGUUUUAUUCAAAACUAACUUACCUCUGCCUCAGUGACUGGGUCAUAAAAACCAAACAAGCCAGCUUGUGAGUUUACUCAUUUACUUUAUCAGUAACUUUUUCCCCAGGGAAGCUUGAGCCUUGGCAGCAGAAGUAAUGUCACUCUUCUGUUUUUCCUCAUUUAAAGCCUUUUAAUGGUUUCCCACCUAAGAACAGUAUUUUGUAGGUUACACUCGUCUUUCCAGUUUCUCUUCUGAUUUAGACUGUGACAAAGAUAAACAAAAGUGUGAUAACAGCGAAAGGGGUAAUGUGAAUUUUGUCUGCAUCUGUGAUCAGACCUGUAAAUGAUCCUCAGGUCAAAGGACACUGAGCACAAGAGAAUACUAUACCUCUUUAUCAAUAAAUGGUAAAUUAAUAGUUAAUUAAACUUUAUCUAACAAUUGUUUUAUUGUUGACAAACAAUGAAAUAAUCACCUAUGUUUGGUAAUCAUUAGUAAUGCUUUAAUUUAUGUUAUUUUAACAUUUUAGCAUGACAUUUUAUCUACUAUAUUAAGUAUUUGUUAAGUAUUUUUUAAUGGUUAUUAACUGGUUUGUAAACUGUCUAUAAACAUUAUUUGGAUGGACGUUAUAAAGUUGCAACGGACGAUUAUAUUACAUUGUUAAAAGGUUGAUAAAUAGUGUGCAGUGUAUCUAAAAACAUUAUUUUGGUGGUCAUUAUAAAGUUGCAAUGUUUUUAGAAUGCACUAAAAAGUAUUUAUCAACCAUUUUAAGGUUCAGUGUGUAGGAUUUCGAGUCCACCAUCCUGUUUCUACAGUAGCCCAGAACAGACAAAUCAAACACUUUGAUUGCGUUUUUGUGUUUUCGCAUUGGCCACCAUAGUUCUCCUACACACUUGGCACAUGAGACAAGUUUCAGUUCUGUAACCCUACUGCGUGAUGCCACUAAAUCCUACACACUGGACCUUUAAGUGGUUAACAGAUACUAUGCAGUGCAUCUAUAUAAUAUCUAAUGAUAAGGCGGUCACUAUAAAGUUUCAGUGUUUACAGAAUACACUACACAAUAGUUAUUAACCAUUCAUUCUCGGAACCCAUCGGCUGUAUUCGGUGUCUGACUUCCAGCAGACGGUGAUACAGCCUCUGGGGGCAGACCCCCGAUUUUUUGGUAUUCCGGUUUGAGGAGGCGAAUUUCCGUUUCCGACUUCCGUUUAUAUAUAUGUAAAUAUGCUGAACCAUUGCGAUGGAUUCAGAGUUUGCAGUGACGCCAAUUAUGUUCCGCCUCGUUAGUUCACCACACGGAGCGUUUAACCUGACAACAACUGCAGCCGGCUCAAACAAUCAGUGUACUUUGAAGCUUGAUACUCUGGUUACAAUGGGUCAGUUCAGAAACUUAGUCAAAAACCUGACUGAUUUUAACUGUUACUGUUUUUAACUCGUUUUAACUGACUCAUUAUAUGUAUAUAUUCAUAUUGUGCUAUAUUGUACUUUUAAAAUCAGUUGUUUCAUGUCGUUAUUUAUGUACUCAGGUCUCUCUAGAAGACUUACCUGAUUAAAUAAAGGUUGUUAUUUAUUCUCAUCUGUGAAAGGUGUAAAUGUGUGGUGAGAAUAUUUUCCUAUAGUAUUCUACAGCAAUAAUAAUUAAAAAUAUAUUUUACAUUGUGUGCAUAUGCUGUAGUCUGAAUCAGUUUUCUGACGCAGCAGUGGCCUACUACUUCCUCUUUAAUCAAUUGCAUCAUCUGUUCUGAGUAACCAAACACCCACCCUUGACGUCCUCUGGCCAGUUGUUACAAACCCCUCCUCUUUCAUGCGAGUGCCUUAAUAAGCUGGACUGGAAAAUCAAGAAGUGACAAAGAGCAUUACGUCUUCUUCAUGUUCAGCAUCUAACAGCAGCGAGUGUAGCCCAUCCUUGUCUAUGCUGAACUUCCUUUGUGAAAUAAGCUGAUUGUUUAAAUAAGGAUAUAUGACUCCGUGUGCUGACAAAUAGGUAUUAACGUGUGACAUUUACAUUACUUGCAUCAGCGCCCCUUUGUCACACAACACAGUCGAGAUCUGCAUCCUGUAACAUUUGUCUUGUAAACAGGGACAGUGCACACUGACCGAGGCCUGUGUGAGAUACAACAUGUUUAGGUCAUGUCA